RNAcentral lists this ribosomal RNA (497 nucleotides) under uncultured bacterium. RNAcentral's name for it is "partial 16S ribosomal RNA". It matches the Rfam family "Bacterial small subunit ribosomal RNA", at positions 28 to 507 of the family's 1533-position model. The record is from RNAcentral.
GAUGAACGCUGGCGGCGUGCCUAAUACAUGCAAGUCGAGCGAACAGACGAGGAGCUUGCUCCUCUGACGUUAGCGGCGGACGGGUGAGUAACACGUGGAUAACCUACCUAUAAGACUGGGAUAACUUCGGGAAACCGGAGCUAAUACCGGAUAAUAUAUUGAACCGCAUGGUUCAAUAGUGAAAGACGGUUUUGCUGUCACUUAUAGAUGGAUCCGCGCCGCAUUAGCUAGUUGGUAAGGUAACGGCUUACCAAGGCAACGAUGCAUAGCCGACCUGAGAGGGUGAUCGGCCACACUGGAACUGAGACACGGCCCAGACUCCUACGGGAGGCAGCAGUAGGGAAUCUUCCGCAAUGGGCGAAAGCCUGACGGAGCAACGCCGCGUGAGUGAUGAAGGUCUUCGGAUCGUAAAACUCUGUUAUUAGGGAAGAACAAAUGUGUAAGUAACUAUGCACGUCUUGACGGUACCUAAUCAGAAAGCCACGGCUAACUACGUG